RNAcentral lists this ribosomal RNA (253 nucleotides) under uncultured fungus. RNAcentral describes it as "partial small subunit ribosomal RNA". It matches the Rfam family "Eukaryotic small subunit ribosomal RNA", at positions 1316 to 1591 of the family's 1831-position model. Lineage: Eukaryota; Fungi. The record is from RNAcentral.
UGCUUAAUUGCGAUAACGAACGAGACCUUAACCUGCUAAAUAGCCAGGCCCGCUUUGGCGGGUCGCCGGCUUCUUAGAGGGACUAUCGGCUCAAGCCGAUGGAAGUUUGAGGCAAUAACAGGUCUGUGAUGCCCUUAGAUGUUCUGGGCCGCACGCGCGCUACACUGACAGAGCCAACGAGUUCAUUUCCUUAGCCGAAAGGUUUGGGUAAUCUUGUUAAACUCUGUCGUGCUGGGGAUAGGGCAUUGCAAUC